UUUAUAGAUUUCAAAGAAAAAGAGUUUUAUGUGCAAAGUGUUCUUGGGUUCUUUUGGUGAGAGAUGUGAGUUGGGUUUGACAUUGGGAAGUGAUUGUGUAACUUGUAUGUUUGGGAAAAGGGUAGAACAAUGGAGAUUGAGCAUUGUAUGCAUGAGUUGGUCCCUUUCUUAGAUAUAUUAUGUGCAAUGUCAAAGCUACUUGUCUUGAGAG
RNAcentral lists this long non-coding RNA (211 nucleotides) under Brassica napus (rape). RNAcentral's name for it is "long non-coding RNA (BNAP_LNC017864)". Lineage: Eukaryota; Viridiplantae; Streptophyta; Magnoliopsida; Brassicales; Brassicaceae. The record is from RNAcentral.